Oreochromis niloticus (Nile tilapia) is the source of this 648-nucleotide long non-coding RNA. RefSeq lists it as uncharacterized. The record is from RefSeq and is a predicted model, not a curated record. Lineage: Eukaryota; Metazoa; Chordata; Actinopteri; Cichliformes; Cichlidae. The transcript has 2 exons.
GUUUUUUAAUUUUGGUGAAGUUUUCAUGAAGUUUACCGGUUGAAGUAAUGAUAAUGAAAUGGAAGUUUAUAAGUGACAGUACUGAGUAAUGAGAAUAAAGGAAUGAAAAGAGAAUUAAAGCAGUUGGACUGCGAAGUGAACUUUUAGAAGGAUAGGGAAUUUGGUCAUUUUGUGGGUUCAAGUCCCGUUGGUCAUUUGGUCUACGUGUGAUGGUCAUUUUUGUGGGUUCAAGUCCCCUAUGUCCACAACGGGAGAUCUGCCUCAAUCUUAUCCGGCUCCGGGUGUAGAUUGUUGUUUCAAAUUAUUGUAAAUUUUUCUAGGACGACAGCGGCGUCUGUUAAGAAGCGCAUUUUCUCCUUGGUAACGCUUGCGCUAAGACAGGACGCUGAUCUUAGACCUACUAGGACAGUAGGGAUAGUACCGUCGACAGCGGGGGAGAGGUUGGGAAACUCCGAAAUUGCUAGGGGUUCAAGUCCCCUAUUCUUGCGCUUAUUGGGUAUGCUGGCAAAUUAUGUUAGGUUUAGAAAUCUGGACAGGACAGUCUGGGACCGCCCUGGUGAAUUGAGCACAAAAAGUCUGGGACUGAUCGGUUGGAGCCGUUAUGUUCUAUUAUCGAAAUUACAUAGGAGUUGAAAAGGCCUAAAAAAA